Molecule: ribosomal RNA, 424 nt
Filed under: uncultured prokaryote
Description: bacterial SSU rRNA
Rfam family: Bacterial small subunit ribosomal RNA
Source: RNAcentral
UGGGGAAUAUUGGACAAUGGGGGCAACCCUGAUCCAGCAAUGCCGCGUGAGUGAUGAAGGCCUUAGGGUUGUAAAGCUCUUUUACCAGGGAUGAUAAUGACAGUACCUGGAGAAUAAGCUCCGGCUAACUCCGUGCCAGCAGCCGCGGUAAUACGGAGGGAGCUAGCGUUGUUCGGAAUUACUGGGCGUAAAGCGCGCGUAGGCGGGCUGGUCAGUCAGGGGUGAAAUCCCGGGGCUCAACCCCGGAACUGCCCUUGAUACUGCCAGCCUUGAGUUCUGGAGAGGUGAGUGGAAUUCCGAGUGUAGAGGUGAAAUUCGUAGAUAUUCGGAGGAACACCAGUGGCGAAGGCGGCUCACUGGCCAGACACUGACGCUGAGGCGCGAAAGCGUGGGGAGCAAACAGGAUUAGAUACCCGCGUAGUCC